UACGGAGGGUGCGAGCGUUAAUCGGAAUUACUGGGCGUAAAGCGCGCGUAGGCGGUUCGUUAAGUCAGCCGUGAAAGCCCCGGGCUUAACCUGGGAACUGCGGAUGAUACUGGCGGACUAGAGUGUGGCAGAGGGUGGCGGAAUUUCCGGUGUAGCAGUGAAAUGCGUAGAGAUCGGAAGGAACACCAGUGGCGAAGGCGGCCAUCUGGGCCAACACUGACGCUGAGGUGCGAAAGCGUGGGGAGCAAACAGG
This 253-nucleotide ribosomal RNA is filed under the name uncultured bacterium. Its description in RNAcentral is "partial 16S ribosomal RNA". It matches the Rfam family "Bacterial small subunit ribosomal RNA", at positions 524 to 776 of the family's 1533-position model. The record is from RNAcentral.